Quercus robur (English oak) is the source of this 320-nucleotide long non-coding RNA. RefSeq lists it as uncharacterized. The transcript is spliced from 3 exons. The record is from RefSeq and is a predicted model, not a curated record. NCBI's taxonomy places the organism in Eukaryota, Viridiplantae, Streptophyta, Magnoliopsida, Fagales, Fagaceae.
AGACUAAAUACACAUUAUUUGCAGUAACUUUGGAUUUUUUCUGAAAGUUGUGAACUUAGCUUAAGCAAAUCAAACAUGGAUAAAAGUUGGAUGACAAUGGGUAAGACACCCGAUGGCAGAUUAAGUCAUCCAUAUAUUGAAGGGGUCAAUGCAUUUAUUAAUUUUGCAAGAGUAGUUGUGGACUUUUUGAGAUCAAGAGGAGGUCCAAAAGAACAUUCUUAACUUUUUGAAGAGCAAGGGUUAUGAUGAUGCUCUUACUUAUGAGGGUGGUUCAACUUCAAGUUAAAAUCCUUUUUGAUUUCUUAUUGGUGGCUUUUAGG